This 237-nucleotide unclassified non-coding RNA is filed under the name Sphaerospermopsis aphanizomenoides NRERC-606. Its description in RNAcentral is "partial 16S-23S ribosomal RNA intergenic spacer". Lineage: Bacteria; Bacillati; Cyanobacteriota; Cyanophyceae; Nostocales; Aphanizomenonaceae. The record is from RNAcentral. RNAcentral also lists the same sequence under 1 other name.
UAGGGAGACCUACCCAUUUAGAUAUCGAAAGCAAUGAGUAAAUAGAUACUAAACUGGUCUACUCUAGGUCGGCCGAGAAUCGGAAGUCUCUUUCAAAGUAUUAUUAAAGCUCUGGUCAAAUUCAGCAACUAGGUAAACCCUAGACUGCUGGGUAAAUACCAGCCAGAACCUUGAAAACUGCAUAGUAACGCGAGGCAGUUCAGUAAUCUAGUGCUUUAGCAGCAGAUAACUGAAAUG